This 141-nucleotide small nucleolar RNA is filed under the name Calidris pygmaea (Spoon-billed sandpiper). RNAcentral describes it as "Small nucleolar RNA SNORA75 (ENSCPGG00000018469.1)". Lineage: Eukaryota; Metazoa; Chordata; Aves; Charadriiformes; Scolopacidae. The record is from RNAcentral.
CACUUCUCAAUGAGCUCCUUCCUGCCAACAAAUCCGUGGCAGCCUAUGGAUUCGCACGAGAAGGAUAUUAAACUGUUCAGUAGUGGCCAACUCACAAUGGGGCUCCCAUCAGUUGUGAUGAGCCACUGCUGGUCUACAAGU